UGCAGGUCAUACAAAACUAGAACCACUAGU
Molecule: non-coding RNA, 30 nt
Filed under: Xenopus tropicalis (tropical clawed frog)
Lineage: Eukaryota; Metazoa; Chordata; Amphibia; Anura; Pipidae
Also listed under: 1 other name
Source: RNAcentral